Molecule: long non-coding RNA, 442 nt
Filed under: Trifolium pratense (red clover)
Lineage: Eukaryota; Viridiplantae; Streptophyta; Magnoliopsida; Fabales; Fabaceae
Description: long non-coding RNA (TPRA_LNC002518)
Source: RNAcentral
UCAAAAUAAAAUAAAAUUUAUAAUUCAAAUCAAAUUAGAAAUUAUAUAAUAAACUAAGUUUAAUAACACAAAAUAGCACUAUAACAUCAAUUGACAACAUACUGCCUUCAAAAAAAUCAAUUGGCAACAUACUACCAAAACAAAGUGCCAAGUGAAAAAGCAAAAACUAAAUGUUCAUCAACUUCAUAAAGACUAGUGUCAUAACAUCCAUUGCCAAAUGCAACGUAGUGCCAAGUUAAAAACUAAAUGUUCAUCUAGACAUAAAAAGUUAAAAACUAAAAAAAAAGAAGGUUAAAACGACGUCGUUCUGCCUUUUUUUUUACUGGUUCGACCCUGGUUCACGUGGUUUUUUUCCGAUCGGUUUCCUAUCAGUUUUUUUCAUAACCGAACCGUUUCCAUGACCGGUUCACGGUCCGACCGAUCCGGUUUUGAUAACCUUGAC